This 389-nucleotide ribosomal RNA is filed under the name uncultured bacterium. RNAcentral's name for it is "bacterial SSU rRNA". It matches the Rfam family "Bacterial small subunit ribosomal RNA", at positions 28 to 417 of the family's 1533-position model. The record is from RNAcentral.
GACGAACGCUGGCGGCGUGCUUAACACAUGCAAGUCGAGCGGUAAGGCCCUUUCGGGGGUACGACGAGCGGCGAACGGGUGAGUAACACGUGGGUGACCUGCCCUCAGCUCUGGGAUAAGCCUGGGAAACUGGGUCUAGUACUGGAUAUGACUCCACGGUGCAUGUCGUGGGGUGGAAAGCCUUGUGCGGCUGAGGAUGGGCCCGCGGCCUAUCAGCUUGUUGGUGGGGUGANGGCCUACCAAGGCGACGACGGGUAGCCGGCCUGAGAGGGCGACCGGCCACACUGGGACUGAGACACGGCCCAGACUCCUACGGGAGGCAGCAGUGGGGAAUCUUGCGCAAUGGGCGAAAGCCUGACGCAGCGACGCCGCGUGAGGGAUGACGGCCU